Daphnia pulex (common water flea) is the source of this 939-nucleotide long non-coding RNA. RefSeq lists it as uncharacterized. The record is from RefSeq and is a predicted model, not a curated record. The transcript is spliced from 6 exons. Lineage: Eukaryota; Metazoa; Arthropoda; Branchiopoda; Diplostraca; Daphniidae.
ACUUCCGGUUUACAAAAAGGGCAGACAAAGUUUCUCAAGAGGAUUCCAUUCUAUAGUAGGGCAUUUAGCCCAGACAAAGCUGUCACACUCCUAUGCUGCUCUCCAAUUAUCAAUGGCCAUCGGAACCUACAGAAAAAAAAAAAUUUAAAACAGUGUCAUAGGGAAAGCUGCUGGAGACCUGCAUUUACACGCAUUACCGGACCAUAAAAAGCGGGCCGGAAAUGUAUGGGCCGGAAAGACGUGGGCCGGAACAUCAUGCAAUCGGGCACGAGUUCUAUUGUCGGGUGGCUAAAAUAGGUGUCCGUCCGGAGUGUCAUCAGGGACCAAAUUCGGCCAUUAUGUUACUUGACGCAGCCGAAAUGGGAUGCCGGUCGUGACAUUUCCCAAAAUGAAAAGGUGAUUGCUCAUACCACUUUGCCAUCGGAAUUGAAAAUGCCUGUACAUUUGCCGAAAUGUCGUGCCUCGUGUGUCUCGCUGCCUGUACCCAGUCGCACGUCUCGUCCCAUGCAACAGCAAAAGUCUUACAACCACGCUUCAUGUUGCAGCCAGAUGGUGAAAAGUGUGAUGAAGACAACUUCAACCGUUGUUUGCAGGAUGUGGUGCCAGUGUUAUCCAGAAGUAGCUGUGCUGGAGUUAUCCUGAAGUAGCUGUGCCAGAAUUUUUCGAAAUUGCUGACUUGAAAAUUUUAACUGUUUUUUGCUUUGCAAGUGGUAUCUUGUGUUGCUGACUUUAAAAAUUUUUAUCCGUUUUUAUUUGUGGUUUUGCUCUGCCAGUGAGUUGCUUACUUGAAUUGGUUUCGUCUGUCGUCUUUUGCGUUUUUACUUGUGCAGUAUGAUUGUGGCAAUCUGACCCAAUGUCAGAUUUGACAUAGUCGACAACUGCUAGAUUAAAUUCCGGCUUUCUGCACCAACAAAAUAAUAACGGCACAUGUUAUUAUCG